RNAcentral lists this ribosomal RNA (254 nucleotides) under uncultured bacterium. RNAcentral's name for it is "partial 16S ribosomal RNA". It matches the Rfam family "Bacterial small subunit ribosomal RNA", at positions 524 to 776 of the family's 1533-position model. The record is from RNAcentral.
GACGAACCGUGCGAACGUUAUUCGGAAUCACUGGGCUUAAAGCGCGUGUAGGCGGGCCGGCACGUCGACGGCUGAAAUCCCCCGGCUCAACCGGGGAAGGGGCCUCGAUACGACCGGCCUGGAGGGGGGUAGGGGGCGCCGGAACUCACGGUGGAGCGGUGAAAUGCGUUGAGAUCGUGAGGAACGCCCGUGGCGAAAGCGGGCGCCUGGACCCCGCCUGACGCUGAGACGCGAAAGCCAGGGGAGCGAACGGG